RNAcentral lists this ribosomal RNA (424 nucleotides) under uncultured bacterium. RNAcentral's name for it is "bacterial SSU rRNA". It matches the Rfam family "Bacterial small subunit ribosomal RNA", at positions 494 to 917 of the family's 1533-position model. The record is from RNAcentral.
UCUCUAUGCGGUGCCAGCCGCCGCGGUAAUACAGAGACUGCAAGCGUUAUUCGGAUUCACUGGGCGUAAAGGGUGCGCAGGCGGCCAAGUGUGUCAGGUGUGAAAUCCCGGGGCUUAACUCCGGAACUGCGCCUGAAACUACUUGGCUAGAGCAUUGGAGAGGGAAGUGGAAUUCACGGUGUAGCAGUGAAAUGCGUAGAUAUCGUGAGGAACACCAGAGGCGAAGGCGACUUCCUGGACAAUUGCUGACGCUCAGGCACGAAAGCGUGGGGAGCCAAAGGGAUUAGAUACCCCUGUAGUCCACGCCCUAAACGGUGCAUACUAGGUCUUGGAGGAUUCGACCCCUUCAGGGCCCAAGCUAACGCGUUAAGUAUGCCGCCUGAGGACUACGGCCGCAAGGCUAAAACUCAAAUGAAUUGGCGGG